ACUAACAAUUUCUCCGAGUGCCGGCGGAGCCCAGGAGCGCUGGAAUCCAGCGUCUGGGAGAGGCUUGGGGAGCUCUUCCUCGGCUUCUGCAGCCGCAAAGUAGGGUUGCCAGCGCCAGGAUCUGCACACAAGCCGCCGCCACCUCCCCUGCCCCCAAAUGGCUGGGGUACGGAGGGAAAGGAGGACGCGAGGGUGUGCCACCCAACCCCGCAGAGUGAAGCCGAGGCCCCAAGGACCGUCGAGGAAAUCGCGGCUGGGCCGGCCAGAUCCGACGCACGGAAUGCGAUCUCCAGGUUCUCAUCGUGUUCCCGGCUCGGUGCUCGGCGUUCAAGGGGGUGGGGAGGAUCGAAAAGCUGCCCCUCGAGGCUGCUCCGCCGCCGGGGAAGCCCGUGGCUCAGGCUUCACGCGUCAGGCGCUCUCUCGGAGUCCAGCCGAGCCGGGCCCGGGCGCGCAACCCGCGGCGCUCCGCUCUCAGCCGGGGACGUGGCUCUCCGUCUCCCGCCCGCGCCGGGACAGCCCCGAAGGCUACCCGCCCGAAACUCCCGAAGAAAGUUGCGCCGCGCGCCCCAGCUCGUCCCUUGCGCGCCCCUCCACUUACCGCUCCCAGCCGAGGCUUCGUUCUCUCCGGCGUCGCCUCCGCAGCCUCCAGAGCCAGCUCCCGGUCCUCCUCACUCCAGGGCGCCCGGGCUCCCGGCCCCCUCCGAACCGAGCCCUCCGCGCCCCCGCCGCGCCAUGCCCCGGGAUGCGCUGCUGCAGCCUCGGGCGACGCUACUGAGAGCCGGGCCGGCGGGGGCGGGUAGGUGUGGGCGAAAGGGGCGGAGGGAGGGACGCGGCGGGCGCUGAGGCUCCGCUGGAGGGGGGAGGAAACCGCAACGUCACCAGAGCCAGAGGAGACGAGGAUGAGGAGAGGGAAACGGGGACCCCCUCCCCCGGCCGAACCCCGACCGCAGGCCCGCCCCGCUUUCUCCCGCUCCUCCUCUCCCGGGACUCGCCGCUCGCAGCUGUGCUCGGCCUUCCACGCCACCCGGCCCGGACUCCACCCGCACCCCCGCCCGCCAGGCCUCUUUGGCUCUAACUUGUUCUAGUUUCUUAGGACUCAAACGCUUCGGGUUCGAGAAUCACACCCAAAGGAAAGGUAACUUUUGGAGGCCCAGGGGGAGGAGCUGAUGCUUCCAUACUACUCUGCGAGAGGAAAGCGAGGAAGACGUUAAGACUCUUACUACCGGGACUGGUGCCCACUCCAGUCUGCCUCCUCCCGAAUAGUUACUGCCUCUUUUCUCUCGAAUUCGGUUUUACUCUCUUCUCAAAGAGAAGUUAGUGGGAGGGGGGACUUUGGGGCGGGGGUCACCUAUAGAGAAGCAGUUCUCUUUUUUACUGUACCAACAAAAUACACUAAAUCCAAGCGCACCGAACCCUGCAAACGGAACAGAUUUUAAUCACAGAAGGUCAGGAGCAAAGCAUUUAAUGUAGGCAGCUCACAAACAGAAAUUUAUCUUACGCGGUGGGGGGGUGUGUGUGUGUGAGAGAGAGAGAUCCCUCAUGCACCCAAGUUCAGGUGGAGCAUUUGCAACCUUGGUAGUCACAGCCUCCUGGAGAAGAGUCCUCCUGUUUUCCAAAAAUCAGCCACUGCUCAAACACGCUCAGCCAGGUCCAACCAGGCCCCAAGGAGAUGUGAGGUAGGAUCAGGGCCAUCACCUCAGGAAUACUUUGCCCCUUCCACCUCCACCCAGUGUGUGCAAGUAACCUACCAGACCUAGAUUGUACAGAAGUGAAAGAUUUGUAGGAUACUUACCCAUUCAUUAGAAUGAGAGAUAUUUUACUGGGAGCAGUGCUUUUCUCCAUGAGUUCUGAAGGGCACCUCCAUCCAAUUCCUCUAUCCUCAGAGGUUCUCACUUCUAUUUGGCCAAAUAAGGAAAAAAUGUGGAUGUCUCAGUUUAUGCUUCUCUUUUUCAGAAAUUGCAUUUAAGAGGAACUCCUUACAAACAGGUCAAGAGGAAGUGGUACUAUUAAAUUUUUUAAAUGUUCACUCAGGUGAACCACUAAUUUGCAUAAACUUCUUGAUGCUUUAGGGAAGGCCUGUCGAGGAGAGAAGAGGGCUCUGGAAACUGGAACUAAUCUUUGGUUCAAAUCCAAACUUUGCUUUUACUACUGUGGGCCUUGGAAAACUAACAUCAGAACCUCAGUUUCCUCAUCUAUAGUGUAACAAUAUAAUACCUUGUUUGAACAGUUAUGGAGAGGAUAUAAUAAAAAUAGCUAAUGUUUAUUGAGAGUUUACUACACCAUAUCAGACGGUCACUGUGCUAAGAGAUUUACAUAUACUAAUUCAAUUAUUAGAAUAAAUUGUGAAAGUGUCUAGCUGUAUUAUGUAAUCCGUAAGUGUUAAUUUCCAUUUAUCUUCUCAAAUUUGAAAGAGACUUUAGAAAAAACAUCUGGUUUAAUUUACGUAACCUCUCAGCAAGUAGUAGUCUAGUUCAGUGAUUCUCCAACCUAGAACUUUAGAAUCAGCAGGGGAGCUAUAAUAAAUUCUUUCCAAUGGGGACCCCCACGCAAGAACAACAAAUCAGAAUCUCUGAGGUUAGGGUCUAAGCAUCAGCAUCUGCAUUUUAAAAUCUCUUCCUAGAUGAUCACAAUGUACAACCAGGAUUGAGAAUUCUUCAAAGGAGGUAGUACUGACUGUCAUUUGCUCCCCUUUACCCUCACACCCCCCACAAUUUUGCUUUUGAGUGACCUGCGAAUUGGCCUCUGGAUGACAUUCACUUUGUGCAAAGCCCCCCCCGUCCCCCCGCCCCCGCCCACCCCAUUACAGUAAGUCUCAACAGAUCUGCUAUUCUGCUCUCUGGAAUCUACAGGAUACACCUAGCCUUGAUUCCACAGGAGAAUACUUCAAUUUACCUGGGUACAUAUUAACUCCAUCAGCUUUUCUUCAUCCAUUAGGAAAGCUCUCAGGAGGAGAUUUACUUUGCCAACAUCUCUCUCAAACCCUGAUGCCAAGAAUUGAAUUCAAGGUUUCACCCAAGUGACAAACUAGAAAGAUGUUUAAUGGCUUUGUUGUAAUUACUGUAUUUCCCUAAGUAUAUCCUUGGAGCUUCCAUGGCAGCAAUAUUACCCAGCUGACUCCAUAUUACAAUCUACCAAAUAAAACCUUAAAGUGUUAAAAGUUUAGUUGGAGAAUCACUGAACUAAACAACUACACUCAAUGCAGUGUUCAGCACUUUACCUGUGAUUCUACUGAAUUUUAUUGUGUUAAAUUAGGCCUCUUAGCUUGUUGACAUAUUGGGUAUCAUUGAUAUAACUGAGUAAUUCCACCUCUCAAUUUCAUGACCUCUGUAAAUCCGGUCUGUAUGCCAUGCCAUCAUUUAAGUUCUCAUUCUCAGGUACCUUCCUCUGCCAACCGACACUGGAUUUGAAUGCUACUGAUGAACAUUCUUAUCAGUUGAGGACCCACAUGUUACCUUGUCCUAUUUUUGUCUGUUGUCCCAGGGUAGCAGCCUGUGUACAUGGGUACGUGGCACUUUUGUAAGAAUUAGAAAAAGGUAUCCCCACUCUCACCUUAGCUGAAGGAUUAGGAAAAAGUGACCCCUUACGCCUAGAUGCAGCUCCAAACAGACAGCAGAUGAGCUUUGUCUAUUGGAUGUCUUUGCUCUACUGUAAUAUUGUCAAAAAACAAAGGAAAUGACUACUUAGUGAAUUGUGGUUCAUGUCUACAAAAUUGUGUCUUCCUUUUCUAAGUAUCCAGAUGUCAUUUUAAUAAUAGGUUUAUUCAUUUUGUUCAGUAUCUGUGAAAAGUUUCUUGCCUCGGUUUCAGACUAAGGCAAAAACUGGAACUCCAUCUGUCCACCUCCAGUUUUUUAGUGUUCAUCUCCCUCUGCUGAUUCUAGCUGAGAGUCCUUAUUGGUAAACUCUCCUUGCUGAGAUGGAAAUUUACUAGGCAAGAAGAAGUUAAGCUUUAGACAGCUAGGACAUAUUUUCUUACAAGCUUCUUCACCUAUCUUUUCAGUUAACUCUUUGAAAGCUUAUUUUAUCCCUUACAUUUAAUGGUUUAUUUUUACAUAAUAGAGAAGACAAAAAAAAGGGAAUUAGUUUUGUUUAGUCAUCCAUUUUAUCUCAAGCAGAGGCAUCCCUUCCAUGUUCUUCUUGUCUGAACAAAACAAAAUGUUAUUUUUUGUUGUUGUCGUCCUUAGUUUAUUCUUGGCUUUAGCCUAAAAUAACAGAGUAACAAUAUUACAGGGCUGUUACAGGUAUGCGGCUUCUGUUCUCCUCUUGAGUUUAAUUCAUUAAACUAAAUUUUAAUCUGC
This is a long non-coding RNA of Homo sapiens (human), 4295 nucleotides long. RefSeq lists it as uncharacterized. The record is from RefSeq and is marked validated. NCBI's taxonomy places the organism in Eukaryota, Metazoa, Chordata, Mammalia, Primates, Hominidae. The transcript has a single exon.